GGACGAGAAGCUUGCUUCUCUGAUGUUAGCGGCGGACGGGUGAGUAACACGUGGAUAACCUACCUAUAAGACUGGGAUAACUUCGGGAAACCGGAGCUAAUACCGGAUAAUAUUUUGAACCGCAUGGUUCAAAAGUGAAAGACGGUCUUGCUGUCACUUAUAGAUGGAUCCGCGCUGCAUUAGCUAGUUGGUAAGGUAACGGCUUACCAAGGCGACGAUGCAUAGCCGACCUGAGAGGGUGAUCGGCCACACUGGAACUGAGACACGGUCCAGACUCCUACGGGAGGCAGCAGUAGGGAAUCUUCCGCAAUGGGCGAAAGCCUGACGGAGCAACGCCGCGUGAGUGAUGAAGGUCUUCGGAUCGUAAAACUCUGUUAUUAGGGAAGAACAUAUGUGUAAGUAACUGUGCACAUCUUGACGGUACCUAAUCAGAAAGCCACGGCUAACUACGUGCCAGCAGCCGCGGUAAUACGUAGGUGGCAAGCGUUAUCCGGGAUUAUUGGGCGUAAAGCGCGCGUAGGCGGUUUUUUAAGUCUGAUGUGAAAGCCCACGGCUCAACCGUGGAGGGUCAUUGGAAACUGGAAGACUUGAGUGCAGAAGAGGAAAGUGGAAUUCCAUGUGUAGCGGUGAAAUGCGCAGAGAUAUGGAGGAACACCAGUGGCGAAGGCGACUUUCUGGUCUGUAACUGACGCUGAUGUGCGAAAGCGUGGGGAUCAAACAGGAUUA
Molecule: ribosomal RNA, 726 nt
Filed under: uncultured Staphylococcus sp.
Lineage: Bacteria; Bacillati; Bacillota; Bacilli; Caryophanales; Staphylococcaceae
Description: bacterial SSU rRNA
Rfam family: Bacterial small subunit ribosomal RNA
Source: RNAcentral